AUUGAACGCUGGCGGCAUGCCUUACGCAUGCAAGUCGAACGGUAACGGGCCUUCGGGUGCCGACGAGUGGCGCACGGGUGAGUAAUACAUCGGAACGUGCCCGAUCGUGGGGGAUAACGAGGCGAAAGCUUUGCUAAUACCGCAUACGAUCUACGGAUGAAAGCAGGGGACCGCAAGGCCUUGCGCGGACGGAGCGGCCGAUGGCAGAUUAGGUAGUUGGUGGGAUAAAAGCUUACCAAGACGACGAUCUGUAGCUGGUCUGAGAGGAUGAUCAGCCACACUGGGACUGAGACACGGCCCAGACUCCUACGGGAGGCAGCAGUGGGGAAUUUUGGACAAUGGGCGCAAGCCUGAUCCAGCCAUGCCGCGUGCAGGAUGAAGGCCUUCGGGUUGUAAACUGCUUUUGUACGGAACGAAAAGCCUUCUUUUAAUACAGGAGGGUCAUGACGGUACCGUAAGAAUAAGCACCGGCUAACUACGUG
Molecule: ribosomal RNA, 482 nt
Filed under: uncultured bacterium
Lineage: Bacteria
Description: partial 16S ribosomal RNA
Rfam family: Bacterial small subunit ribosomal RNA
Source: RNAcentral